RNAcentral lists this ribosomal RNA (200 nucleotides) under uncultured prokaryote. Its description in RNAcentral is "partial 16S ribosomal RNA". It matches the Rfam family "Bacterial small subunit ribosomal RNA", at positions 1182 to 1382 of the family's 1533-position model. The record is from RNAcentral.
AUGUCAAAUCAUCAUGCCCUUUAUGUCCUGGGCUACACACGUACUACAAUGGUCGUAACAGAGGGAAGCGAGAUAGAGAUAUUGAGCCAAACCCAAAAAGCGAUCUCAGUUCGGAUUGAAGGCUGAAAUUCGCCUACAUGAAGAUGGAAUUGCUAGUAAUGGCAGGUCAGCAUACUGCCGUGAAUACGUUCCCGGGCCUU